Molecule: RNase P RNA, 292 nt
Filed under: SAR202 cluster bacterium
Lineage: Bacteria; Bacillati; Chloroflexota; Dehalococcoidia
Description: partial RNase P RNA component class A
Rfam family: Bacterial RNase P class A
About the family: Ribonuclease P (RNase P) is a ubiquitous endoribonuclease, found in archaea, bacteria and eukarya as well as chloroplasts and mitochondria. Its best characterised activity is the generation of mature 5'-ends of tRNAs by cleaving the 5'-leader elements of precursor-tRNAs.
Source: RNAcentral
UGAGGUGAUUGGACGAUCGCUAUUUUAAAUAGAGGAAAGUCCGAGCUCCAAUGGGAAAGGUGCCAGUUAACGACUGGUCAAGGUGACUUGAAGGAAAGUGCCACAGAAAAUAUACCGCUAUUUAAUAAUAGUAAGGGUGAAAAGGUGAGGUAAGAGCUCACCGCUUAAUUGGUAACAAUAAAGGCAUGGCAAACCCCACCUGGUGAAAGAUCAUAUAGAAAGGAAAGGGAUAAUCCCAUAUCCAAGUACUUUGGGUAGAUCGCUUGAGCUUAUUGGCAACAAUAAGCCUAGA